ACAGCAUGAUGACACUUGUCCAAA
Molecule: non-coding RNA, 24 nt
Filed under: Arabidopsis thaliana (thale cress)
Lineage: Eukaryota; Viridiplantae; Streptophyta; Magnoliopsida; Brassicales; Brassicaceae
Source: RNAcentral